RNAcentral lists this unclassified non-coding RNA (520 nucleotides) under uncultured Ambispora. Its description in RNAcentral is "SSU rRNA". It matches the Rfam family "Eukaryotic small subunit ribosomal RNA", at positions 569 to 1091 of the family's 1831-position model. The record is from RNAcentral. Lineage: Eukaryota; Fungi; Glomeromycota; Glomeromycetes; Archaeosporales; Ambisporaceae.
AGCAGCCGCGGUAAUUCCAGCUCCAAUAGCGUAUAUUAAAGUUGUUGCAGUUAAAAAGCUCGUAGUUGAAUUUUGGGUCUGGCCGGGCGGUCCGCCCUCUGGGUGAGCACUGUUCCGACGCCGGGCCUAUCCUUCUGGUGAGUCGGCAUGUCCUUUAUUGGGUGUGCCGGGGAACCAGGACCAUUACCUUGAAAAAUUAGAGUGUUCAAAGCAGGCGUAUGCUCGGAUACAUUAGCAUGGAAUAAUGAAAUAGGACGCGUGGUGCUAUUUUGUUGGUUUCUAGAACCGCCGUAAUGAUUAAUAGGGAUAGUUGGGGGCAUUAGUAUUCAAUUGUCAGAGGUGAAAUUCUUGGAUUUAUUGAAGACUAACUUCUGCGAAAGCAUUUGCCAAGGAUGUUUUCAUUAAUCAAGAACGAAAGUUAGGGGAUCGAAGACGAUCAGAUACCGUCGUAGUCUUAACCAUAAACUAUGCCGACUAGGAAUCGGGCGAUGUUAUUCUCAUGACUCGCCCGGCGCCUUAU